This 550-nucleotide ribosomal RNA is filed under the name uncultured bacterium. RNAcentral describes it as "bacterial SSU rRNA". It matches the Rfam family "Bacterial small subunit ribosomal RNA", at positions 355 to 896 of the family's 1533-position model. The record is from RNAcentral.
UAGGGAAUCUUCCACAAUGGGCGCAAGCCUGAUGGAGCAACACCGCGUGAGUGAAGAAGGGUUUCGGCUCGUAAAGCUCUGUUGUUAAAGAAGAACACGUAUGAGAGUAACUGUUCAUACGUUGACGGUAUUUAACCAGAAAGUCACGGCUAACUACGUGCCAGCAGCCGCGGUAAUACGUAGGUGGCAAGCGUUAUCCGGAUUUAUUGGGCGUAAAGAGGGUGCAGGCGGUUUUAUAAGUCUGAUGUGAAAGCCUUCGGCUUAACCGGAGAAGUGCAUCGGAAACUGGAUAACUUGAGUGCAGAAGAGGGUAGUGGAACUCCAUGUGUAGCGGUGGAAUGCGUAGAUAUAUGGAAGAACACCAGUGGCGAAGGCGGCUACCUGGUCUGCAACUGACGCUGAGGCUCGAAAGCAUGGGUAGCGAACAGGAUUAGAUACCCUGGUAGUCCAUGCCGUAAACGAUGAGUGCUAGGUGUUGGAGGGUUUCCGCCCUUCAGUGCCGGAGCUAACGCAUUAAGCACUCCGCCUGGGGAGUACGACCGCAAGGUUG